CCUACGGUGGACAGCAGUGAGGAAUAUUGGUCAAUGGGCGGGAGCCUGAACCAGCCAAGCCGCGUGAGGGAAGAAGGUACAGCGUAUCGUACACCUCUUUUGUCAGGGAACAAAGGCGGGGUCUAGUCACCGGAUGAGGGUACCUGAAGAAAAAGCAUCGGAAAAAUCCGUGCCAGAAGCCGCGGUAAUACGGAGGAUGCGAGCGUUAUCCGGAUUUAGUGGGUUUAAAGGGUGCGCAGGCGGCCUUUUAAGUCCGCGGUAAAAGCCCGGGGCUAAACCCCGGCGAGCCGUUGAAACUGGGGGGCUGGAGUUGGGGAGAGGUACGGGGAAU
This 331-nucleotide ribosomal RNA is filed under the name uncultured bacterium. RNAcentral describes it as "partial 16S ribosomal RNA". It matches the Rfam family "Bacterial small subunit ribosomal RNA", at positions 338 to 667 of the family's 1533-position model. The record is from RNAcentral.